RNAcentral lists this ribosomal RNA (253 nucleotides) under uncultured bacterium. Its description in RNAcentral is "partial 16S ribosomal RNA". It matches the Rfam family "Bacterial small subunit ribosomal RNA", at positions 524 to 776 of the family's 1533-position model. The record is from RNAcentral.
UACGUGGGGUGCGAUCGUUGUCCGGAUUUAUUGGGCGUAAAGAGUUCGUAGGCGGUCCGGUAAGUCACUUUUCAAAGACUUCGGCUCAACCGAGGGAAGGGGAGUGAUACUGUCGGACUUGGAAAAUUGAGGGGUUGUCGGAACUGUCGGUGUAGGGGUGAAAUCCGUUGAUAUCGAUAGGAACGCCAAGGGCGAAGGCAGACAACUGGUGAUUUUUCGACGCUGAGGAACGAAAGCCAGGGGAGCGAAUCGG